Cinara cedri is the source of this 207-nucleotide non-coding RNA. The record is from the annotation of a GenBank genome assembly. NCBI's taxonomy places the organism in Eukaryota, Metazoa, Arthropoda, Insecta, Hemiptera, Aphididae.
ACAAUAAUUGCGUUACGUUGUCUAACGUAUAUUUUAAACCGUAAUUUACGUUUUAUAUUCAUACGCGCAUGCAAACGUUAUCAAUUACCGUUUUGUAACGUGUUUCAAGCUUGAUACAGUAAUUUAAUCGUUUUUCUCUCGUGCGGUUUUUAUUUUCUUGAUUUACAAAAUGUGCUUUGAGUGAAAAAUUCUGUUUUAAACCACGGG